GGGGCUGAUUCUGGAUUCGACGGGAUUUGCGAAACCCAAGGUGCAUGCCGAGGGGCGGUUGGCCUCGUAAAAAGCCGCAAAAAAAUAGUCGCAAACGACGAAAACUACGCUUUAGCAGCUUAAUAACCUGCUUAGAGCCCUCUCUCCCUAGCCUCCGCUCUUAGGACGGGGAUCAAGAGAGGUCAAACCCAAAAGAGAUCGCGUGGAUGCCCUGCCUGGGGUUGAAGCGUUAAAACGAAUCAGGCUAGUCUGGUAGUGGCGUGUCCGUCCGCAGGUGCCAGGCGAAUGUAAAGACUGACUAAGCAUGUAGUACCGAG
RNAcentral lists this transfer-messenger RNA (317 nucleotides) under Salmonella enterica subsp. enterica serovar Derby. RNAcentral's name for it is "partial transfer-messenger RNA". It matches the Rfam family "transfer-messenger RNA", at positions 1 to 327 of the family's 374-position model. Rfam says of the family: Bacterial tmRNA, also known as 10Sa RNA or SsrA, is named for its dual tRNA and mRNA-like properties. Its role is to liberate the mRNA from a stalled ribosome. Lineage: Bacteria; Pseudomonadati; Pseudomonadota; Gammaproteobacteria; Enterobacterales; Enterobacteriaceae. RNAcentral also lists the same sequence under 1 other name. The record is from RNAcentral.